CGCUAGUAAUCGCGCAUCAGCCAUGGCGCGGUGAAUACGUUCCCGGGCCUUGUACACACCGCCCGUCAAGCCAUGGGAGCCGGGGGCGCCUGAAGUCCGGGACCGCGAGGACCGGCCUAGGGCGAAACUGGUGACUGGGGCUAAGUCGUAACAAGGUAUC
RNAcentral lists this ribosomal RNA (160 nucleotides) under uncultured bacterium. Its description in RNAcentral is "partial 16S ribosomal RNA". It matches the Rfam family "Bacterial small subunit ribosomal RNA", at positions 1333 to 1500 of the family's 1533-position model. The record is from RNAcentral.